GUCACCUGUACACUAGGACCCCUGUCCUUUGCAUCUCAGGCUGGUGUUUCAGCACCGUUGCUGCUCUGUCUAUGAGAUCAUCUGGUCACAUUGUUUACAGAAGGUUUUGCCAGCCUGCAAAUACAGUGACAUAGGAGGGUCAAAGUAGUCCCCCAACCCUGGUCUCUGAACAGCUGGGAGGUGGUGAUGGAAGCAGGUGCUCAGAGCAGACACAAGCAGGAACAGUCUUUACUGUCACAUUGCAGGGCAAAGGAAGCAGCGGAAAUGUCUGAGCCUUAAUUUGAGGUCUCUGAGAAAUGUGGAAAGGAGAGGGAUCUGCACUGACAUGCAUCACCAGGGUGGAUGCAGCUCAGGAGGAACCAAACAGCUUCGGUGCACCACAGGGAAGGAUCUGGGCUUCUUGAGACCUUGUUCAAACUGAACCUUUAAGCAGGAUGAUUGCCCAUCAAUAAAGAAGAGACCAUAGAGAACCACCA
Long non-coding RNA from Pseudopipra pipra, 476 nucleotides. RefSeq lists it as uncharacterized. The record is from RefSeq and is a predicted model, not a curated record. The transcript is spliced from 2 exons. Lineage: Eukaryota; Metazoa; Chordata; Aves; Passeriformes; Pipridae.